AAUGAACGCUGGCGGCGUGGAUAAGACAUGCAAGUCGAACGGAGUUAGCAAUAAGCUUGCUUAAGGCAAACUCAGUGGCGAACGGGUGAGUAACACGUGAAUAAUCUGCCUUGAAGUGGGGGAUAGCCCUGGGAAACUCGGAUUAAUACCGCAUGUGGUCGAGAGACUAAAGCAGCAAUGCGCUUUAAGAUGAGUUCGCGUCCUAUUAGCUAGUUGGUGAGGUAACUGCUCACCAAGGCCUUGAUAGGUAGCCGGUCUGAGAGGAUGUCCGGCCACACUGGAACUGAGACACGGUCCAGACACCUACGGGUGGCAGCAGUCGAGAAUCAUUCACAAUGGGGGCAACCCUGAUGGCGCGACGCCGCGUGGGGGAAGAAUGUCUUCGGAUUGUAAACCCCUGUCAUGUGGGAGUAAGCCAGUGAUAGUUGAUAGUACCACAAGAGGAAGAGACGGCAAACUCUGUGCCAGCCGCCGCGGUAA
This 480-nucleotide ribosomal RNA is filed under the name uncultured bacterium. RNAcentral's name for it is "partial 16S ribosomal RNA". It matches the Rfam family "Bacterial small subunit ribosomal RNA", at positions 29 to 523 of the family's 1533-position model. The record is from RNAcentral.